AGUGAACGCUGGCGGCAGGCCUAAUACAUGCAAGUCGAACGGCAGCACAGUGGAGCUUGCUCCAUGGGUGGCGAGUGGCGGACGGGUGAGGAAUACAUGGGAAUCUGCCCAGUCGUGGGGGAUAACGUAUGGAAACGUACGCUAAUACCGCAUGCGCCCUUCGGGGGAAAGUCGGGGACCGCAAGGCCUGACGCGAUUGGAUGAGCCCAUGUUCGAUUAGCUAGUUGGCGGGGUAACGGGCCCACCAAGGCGACGAUCGAUAGCUGGUCUGAGAGGAUGAUCAGCCACACUGGAACUGAGACACGGUCCAGACUCCUACGGGAGGCAGCAGUUAGGGAAUAUUGGACAAU
Molecule: ribosomal RNA, 350 nt
Filed under: uncultured bacterium
Lineage: Bacteria
Description: bacterial SSU rRNA
Rfam family: Bacterial small subunit ribosomal RNA
Source: RNAcentral